ACCUCCUGCUGCCACAUCAUCUCUAUGCAUAGGGCAUUUUGUGCCACCUGUCCACUUCUUAAAAAAAACUAUUGGCAAGUUUAUGUUUUCAGUGGGCUUUAAAUACAUAUAUGCUAUAAAACAAAAGAUUUCUAUUGAUGAAUUUAAGAAACAGGCAUGUAACCAGACGGCUGUUACAUGUCUUCUACGUUUCUUGAGGCGCUUGAUGUGAAAAGAGGGUGAGCUCAUGGUCGCGGACAUGAUGCUUCUUGAUGAAAAGGUAUGUAUCUAUGUGAUAAGCUUCUACAAUCGUUAAACCCAAAUUUGCGGAAGGUUCCCUGCGUUCCAAGAAGUAGAUUGUCAAUAUUUUUGAUUUGUGUUCUUUUCCUUGAGUCCCUUGAUAAUGUGUUUUACAUUGAUUUGGUAGCCAUAUAAACAAUUACCGUACUUUAACUUUCAGGUUCUUACAUAUUUUCUUUCCUUAAGUUUCUAAUGUAUAAUUAUGUUGGUUUGAACAGCCCUACUGCAAUUCGUGUGCUUAAAGCAGCACUCAAUGAUCAACAUGUCAGAAUUCAAGUAUGUCUCAGAUGCUUAGUUGUAGUGACAAACUCAUUAUAAAAGGAUUUAUAAACUUUUUUUCUAGGAUGCCGUGAAUGAGAGACAUUCUUAUUCUAUGGAACCGAAGAAGCUACUAAAGAAAGAAAGUCUUACUGCUUGAAAACUCUGUUGAAUUUCCCAGUAAACUCUUGACUGGAAAGGUACUUAUAACUUUCCCUGCUGAUAUAUAGUUUCAUUUAUCUGCCUCCAAUGAUCGUUAUUGGUUGAGUUCUGCAGAACAUGGCCUCCAAAAAUCAAUCAAAACUGUAUGAGCCCAUAGAAGAGAUUGAUAUAAUGUUGAACCAGACAUCAUCCUCACCGGAGUUCCAUUUUUCUUUCAUAUCUCAAAGUCACAGAUUGUUUUUUUUUUUGGCAGGUGAACCUAAGGAAUCUGAAGUCACAUUCCUAGCUUUAACAUUCAGUUAUAAAGUUAGUCACAACACUGAGUUGCUACCUUUGGUACACUCCCCAAGUCCUACCAAACAGAUGUAUGUAUUUUCUUAAGAAAUAUUUUUUCAAAUCUUUGGAAGUGUUAUUAUAUUAUUUUCUUGACAAUCUAAUACAUUAAUCUUAUUAGUAUUUACAAAGAAAAUGUUACAUUAUGUUUUAUUAAUGCAUAAAACAUGGAUAUAAAAAACAUAAAUAUGUCCAAAGCUUAACCUGAGACGUAUACAUGCCCCUCUGAAGCUCACUUGAAAGAGUUUUUCAUGUUAUCUCUUACGUUUCAUAUUUAUUGCUUUUAUUUUUAACUUAUUCAUUUAAAAUUCGUUAAUAAUAAUGUAUAGAUAAAAGUUAAACUAUCGUAAGAUUAUUACUGUCUGUUUGAGAGGGUGGUUUAUACUUGCAAGGUUUGGGUAAUUAUAAUUGCAUAAUUUUCAAUAACAUAUAAGAAAAAUUCAUAAAAUAGAAGUUAAGAGUGUCAAUUAGCGAUAUUGUUUUUAACAUUUCAUCAACGUAACUCACCAAAAAUUUUAAACAUUAACUCUGCCAGUUUUUGUUUUCAUUAAUAAUCAUUAAACCCAAGAUAAUAGAAACUGACAAUACAUUGAGGAAACCAGCGAAAAAUUAAAACAUAAUUGGAAAACGAAGGGUGACCAACUCGGGAAACAAACCGGACAUAGCGAUAAAUUAUAGGGAUGUGUUAAGAACUGGGAAGUCAAGCUACGAAAAGACAAAUCAGAAAUUUAUGAGUACAAAUCAGAAAUUAAGAACGAGAUGAGAGACUGAUUGUUCUGUACGAGCAAUAAUAGCUCUAACAAAUGAUAGAAAAAGUGGCAGAAGAAUAUGGUAAUGAUACUUUUACUUUAAGAUAUGCAAACAUAUAUAUAUUUUAAUGAAUAAUGAUGCUUUCACUUUUAGAGAUAGAAAAGGAAAACACAUAGGGUCUGACUGGUGACCAUUCGGGAAUCAAGAGGAACGAAUAAAAAGGGAAUGUACGGGAACAAAAUAUCAGGAAUGAAAAGGAAUGGUUGUUCCUUAUCAAAUUUAACAAAGAAUAAUUUUGUUCUUAAAUUCUCUACAAAAAAGGGAAUGAAAAGGAAUAAGAGGGAAUUUUUAUUCCUUGUGAAUGGUGAUUUUUUUUAGAAACGUUAGGGAAUGCAUUAUUCCUCACCGUUCCUUGGUCACCAUUCAUACCCAUAGUAUAAAAGAGAGCGUAAACAACGCAGCUUGCAUAAUUGGAGAGGAAGGAUGCUACAAGAAUAAGUGGAGCUAAGGGAAGGCUGUUACUAUACCCACUUAUGUGCUCCAAUGUUCCAAAUUUGGUUUAGAUCCAGUAAGGUCCACUAUUGUGUCUACUCUGUUUUUCUUUCAUGUAAUUUGAAUCAAGAUCAGUUAAUAAAGACAUAGUUUUCAACUUUGAAGAGUGACGGAAAGGUUGAGACAUGAUUUUCAUUACCAGAAGAUGAUCAAAUUUUGAGAACAUAUACCGAUCGAGCUACUCACACUUAACGAAAGGCUAUUUAUAAAAAGCUAAUAUCAUGUUUUUCUUAACAUACUUUCUGGCAUACUCAUUGCACUUGCACAUCACUAAUCCUAUAUCAUAUUACAUUUUCUAUUCCUAUAUCAUAUUACAUUUUCCUCAAUAGAAGAAGAAUAUCCUUAAAUAUUUGGGCCAGUAAGUUUUAUGGUCUCUUUGUAACAUUCUUACAUUUAAGCCGGUAGAUAUGGUUGUCAAAUGAAUAGAAAGAUUAAUAAUGCCAAAAAACAGUUGACUAACUACUGGCCACUCUAAAAUAAUUGUAAGUCUAUCGUCAUUAAAUUGAACCAAACAAUAGUAACUGAGUUUCCUUACUUUUUCGUUCGGAGAACAAUAGCAUUUUUUGUCGUUUUGGUAUUAAAGAUCAGAUGAGGCACUCAAUCACCUACGCAAUUCUGCAAAUGCAAAUUAUCUUUGUGGUUUAUUACUUUUGUGCACAUGAAAAAUCAAGAAGAAAAAAAAGUUCCUAGAUACCCUAGACUGGAAACGCACAUUACCUACAUCCGAUCGUUGCUGGAGAAAAAUUAAAAAAAAAACACUCAGUGUCUUCCUAUUCAGCUGGAGGACGUAUAUCUAAAGAAUAUGGCUAGACUCAAACUCCCAAGAAGUUGCGACCUCCAAAACAUAAAUCAUCUAUCCAAGAAUUGUUACUACUUCAUAAGAGUUGAGAAAUUUGUCGAUUACAUUGUUCAUAGAUUAAAAAAAAUGUCAUUGCUUACUUUGAUUUUUAAAGAAAAAGCUGAUUUUACAUUUUUUCUAUCAUGAAUAUUUAAAAAUCUUUAAUUUAUUGUUUGCUUUACUUUUGAAAUUAAUUAUUACUCCGUCAUGUACUUCCUACCAUCAACUUUCCGUUUAGGAUAAACCCAUAAAAUUCAAAAAAUAAAUAAAAUUCUUUAUACAUACGUAAACCAAAAAAAUACAUUUCCCCCAUAAGUUAAUUUUUGUUUUUGCAUUUUCACUAACAUGUACUCAUAAAAUCCAUUAUUAGUCACGACCCUCAAUUCUUAAUUGGCAAGAACUACUAAUUCUAACUCGACCGGAUAACAACUAACAGAUGAAAAAUGAAACUAAUUGAAUUCAAAAGAGAAAACAACGUCGAAACCCGGCGCGUAGCGCCGGAAUACCCCUAGUAUAUAUAUAUAAUGCCAUGCCUUCUUUAGAAACUCAGUACGUGUCUAGCGAGUUAUCAUAAAAUUGGAAAUAAAUCAAGGAUUACUCGGAAAUUUUUUUUAUUUAUCUUUUAGCUAAUAAUAAGUAUAUAAACUAAAUAUGUAGAUAAUAACCAUAAGUACAAGCUGUCCUAUUGGUUCGUACAAUUCUAUUUGGGUCUAAAAAUCCAAGUUCGAGUUCUGGGAGAAGGUUUUCUGUCUGCAACCCAAUUUCACAUAUGUGGCUUUUUCUAGUUUUUAGUUUUGUUUAAACUGAUUUUUCAUGUUUUUUAUACCGUAUCUAAUGGUAUAUCUACAAAAAAAACAUAUUUGGAUAUUAAAAACUAAUAAAAUAGAGUUUCCAAAUCGUCACGGCUAUUUACCGUGGAACGAGUUUCCGGCUGCCGAACCGUUCACUCUAGCAAGUUUUACAACAGGGAUGCCAUGUAUAUUUAAGUUAAAUGUCAAAAGUAUGAUUCUAUAUUAAUUGACUUUUUGGACAAUAAUGUAUAUAUCUAUAAUAAAUUACCUCUAAUUUUGUCUUUGUCAACUUUUCUUUUCAUUGAAAAUAUGCCCAAUGGGCAAUAUUACAAGCAAGUUUAUAAAGUCCAUGCCCUGUCAAAUUACAAGCCCAGAAUUUAAGUUAAAACUAAACCCAAUAUAUUGAUCUGAACUGUCUUUAGGCUACACGUGUUGUCCCACGCGCUUGCAUGAAUCCUCGAUCUUGUAUCACCUACGCGCGGACACGUGCCUCCGUCUGAGAUGGGGCUCCGCCGUUGCGAAAUCGUCAAACCCACUUGUAAAAUCCUUCUUUCAUGUAGCCGUCAAGGAUGAAAGGAGCCUUCUUCGUCCGCUGGAUUUAAUACCCAAGUAAGCUUUGACAGAUUGGUAACAGACCUUUACCGGAACGUUUUCAUCAGAAAACUCUGAUUCAUCUAAGUCUGUCCCAUAAUCAACAAAGCUGAAUCCAAAACCUUAGCUGAUUCAAUUCAAACAGGAGGCUUUACGAAGUUUUAAUCGUAAAGAUUUAUUCCUUGAAAUUGAAAUAGCUAAGCAUAACCAUAGGACAAAUAAAACAUAUCUAAAACUCAACGGGAUGAGACUAUUUCAGGAAAACAAAAGAGUCUUAGAGUGGUAUAGAAAGAAGGAUAAAGACUUAAAUCGAUAAAACAAUGAUCGAAGUUUAUUAACUUCAACCAAAAACCGAGAAAUCUUAAACUUGAAGAACAGCUCGGAUUCGACUAAAGAACACAAUAAAAUUGCCAACGCGAAACAAAAUUCCGCUACCGGAACAGAAAAUCGAUCGUUUUCGAUCAAAUAUAUUACAAACAAAAAAAAAAAGACUCUGAAUCAAUCCCUCUCCCCCUGAAAGAUUUUAAUUUGAUAAGGGGGAUGGAGAUAAUUUUCUCACCUCUGAUUGUAUUUAACUUAUAUUAUAUAUAUUAUUCUGUAGUUUCACAUUUUAUAUCUUUUUGUUUCAUAUGUAUUAUAAUUUAAAUUUUAAAAUAAAAAUACUUAGAUUUUAUAAGUAAUUUUAUGUGUGGCACAUCAUUUAAUACAAAAAGCAUUAUGGUGAAAUGCUAUUUUCCUUGUCAUUUUAUAUAGAAAACAUAUAUUUUCAAAAAAAAGUAAAGAGUUAUAAUGAAAUGUUAACUUAUUUUAUAUAGAAAACAUAUGUUUUCCACAAUUCAAGUUUGGAGUUUUAAAAGAUUAAAAUUGAGAAGUAAAGAGUUAUAGUCUCAUUUUUUAAAGUUUGAUUUUUAUUUCUGGUUUAGCUUUUAGAACAAGGAUUAGAAUUUUGACUCUUGUUUUAAUUUUCAAAAUACAUAAAUAUAAAAUUAAUUUAUGUUUUACAUAGAAUGUUGUGGUCUCAUUCAAAAUGGUAUAUUCAAUUUAAAAGUAAAUAUAUGUUUGUUUAGAAAAAAUGCAAAUAAUAAGGUAUGAAGAAGAUUUUAGUAAGUUGAGAAUAUUGAAUCCGUUUACGUAAAAAUCAUCUAAAGAAAGGAAAUAUGAAAGGGGAAACCAUUCAAGGUA
Molecule: long non-coding RNA, 5736 nt
Organism: Brassica rapa (field mustard)
Lineage: Eukaryota; Viridiplantae; Streptophyta; Magnoliopsida; Brassicales; Brassicaceae
Source: RefSeq, a predicted model, not a curated record